ACCAGCAUGGCUGAGUGGUUAAGGCAUUGGACUUAAGAUCCAGUGGGGACUUUUGACUGGGGGGAUAUUUCUCCUUGGUGUUAGCUUUUAGACCCAAUCAAUGUGUUUCUGUGUGGAUUCAAACUCCACUCUUGGUA
RNAcentral lists this transfer RNA (137 nucleotides) under Xenopus laevis (African clawed frog). It matches the Rfam family "tRNA". Rfam says of the family: Transfer RNA (tRNA) molecules are approximately 80 nucleotides in length. Their secondary structure includes four short double-helical elements and three loops (D, anti-codon, and T loops). The record is from Rfam by way of RNAcentral. Lineage: Eukaryota; Metazoa; Chordata; Amphibia; Anura; Pipidae.